ACUUCAGCAUAAAUCUGCUUCUCUGCUAUAAGAAAUUAUUCCUGAUAUGCUUUGGGCUAUGGAAACCAAUUACAUGAAUUUUGCACAAUAACCUAUUUCUCCCAAACAGGGGUAGCACUCCUGGCCAUAAACAGACAUCUUUUUACUUCCAAUUAACUGUGUGGGUGUAUAAACAUGAGGAAAACUGCCUUUUCAACUUGAAUUUAAUAACCAGAAAACAAUGGCAGAAAGGAAUCGUCAUUUACAGUCAGAAUAUCAGACUCUGGCCAUCCUUAUUGCCUUCCUCUGCAAGCCAGCUGGAUUUGUGAAAACAGACAAACCCUUUCCCAUUAAAUCAUAAAUACUGCAGGUUUUAUUCCUUACUGACUCCUAGGCUCCAAGAUUUAAGAAAGGGUAGGAUAUUAAUUUCCAGAUCUAAACUUGACAUAAGUCACAGUGCUGUAGUUGUCAUUUAAACUUCAGGUGUGUUUUUCUUCUCUUCCAUAUACUCCAGAGCUUCCCUGUAAUCCCUGAAUCCUACUGAAUUCACACCCUGGUGAUGUAUCAAUGUCAAAGGGAUGCAACUGGUAAUUCUGCCUGGCUGUUAAACUGCCUCGUGUCACCCUAUUUCCAAUGGCUGCUGCUAAGGGCCGCUGUGAGGCCUGUAAGCCACUGCAGUGCAGCCCAGGCCCUGAGCCUGAGUGCAGAUUUAGGGAUGCACGAGCUGUGCCUGGCAGAGGUGGGAAACCUGAGAUGUCCUUGAUUGAGAUCCUCAAGUGGAGCUAAGGAACCAAAUUCCUUUUAUUAUUGAUGCCUCAUUUCCUCAUUAAUGCCACAAAGAUUUAUGUGAAGGGACUUUCAGAGUGCUAAUGGAAUUACCCACCUAAAUCUCCCCCGUGCCGAUGGCGGGAAACGCUCUGGUUCUUUGCCCUCACGUUAGUGCUGGGUGAGUAAUUGAAUUAUUUGUUAGCUAGCAAAACUAAAAGUCCUUGAUUUUUGUCGGUAGUGUUGAGGGCUUUUCAAUACCUGUUUUUUUUUUAAUGCCUUUGCUUGGGCUUGAGUUAUAAUUUGAAAUACAAAAUGAAAACAUUUUGAUAAUUUUUCCCAUUCCAGUGCCAGUGAGGGUCAGUGGUUUCAGUCAGUAAACUCUUUAUUAUUAUUAUUAUUCUUAACAAAAUGCCAUCCUGUAGCAUUCCACUUACCUCUAAUUAGUGUGCCUGCUUCUGUCAGAACUUUAAUAUUGCUUCAGAUCUGGUGCUGAUUCUGCUAAAAAGUACUUUCCUAUAACCUCACUGCUGCCAGUUAAUUUCCUAAAAUCCCCUUGGGUUUAGUGUCUGUGCCAGGGCACAGAACUGCACUGCCUGAGCUUGGGGAGGGUGAGAAGAGCGGCACAAACACUUGUGCAGAGCAGGAACAACUUCUGGUCUGGUGAAAAUGACUGAAAGAGUAGGAAUAAUUCUGGAAAUCACUCUGAAAUCAAGAUGGGAGGAUACAGCUGGGGCUGGGCAGCCUCUUGUGUGAAACCACUUCUAUGAACCUUGUUCAAGUGUGUGCACAGACACCUGGGAAUGAUUUAUUCCUUGUCAUGGGCCUGGUCCUGUGGAGCUGGGGGUGUUGUCAGGGAAGGUGACUGGGUCAGCUGCUCCAUGCACUAGGAGGACAGCUUGUGCCUAUAAAGAGAAACACCAGUUCAGGACACUGGAAGUAUGAGAGUCUGAAGAUUAAUGAUAGAAAAAUAUCGUGUUUGAGGAAAGUAAGCAGGA
RNAcentral lists this long non-coding RNA (1742 nucleotides) under Cyanistes caeruleus (blue tit). RNAcentral describes it as "lncRNA (ENSCCEG00000012171.1)". The record is from RNAcentral. Lineage: Eukaryota; Metazoa; Chordata; Aves; Passeriformes; Paridae.